RNAcentral lists this ribosomal RNA (341 nucleotides) under uncultured fungus. RNAcentral's name for it is "SSU rRNA". It matches the Rfam family "Eukaryotic small subunit ribosomal RNA", at positions 292 to 636 of the family's 1831-position model. Lineage: Eukaryota; Fungi. The record is from RNAcentral.
GGUUCAUUCAAAUUUCUGCCCUAUCAACUUUCGAUGGUAGGAUAGCGGCUACCAUGGUUUAACGGGUAACGGAGAAUUAGGGUUCGAUUCCGGAGAGGGAGCCUGAGAAACGGCUACCACAUCCAAGGAAGGCAGCAGGCGCGCAAAUUACCCAAUCCUGACCAGGGAGGUAGUGACAAUAAAUAACAAUACAGGGCUCUUUGAGUCUUGUAAUUGGAAUGAGUACAAUUUAAAUCCCUUAACGAGGAACAAUUGGAGGGCAAGUCUGGUGCCAGCAGCCGCGGUAAUUCCAGCUCCAAUAGCGUAUAUUAAAGUUGUUGCAGUUAAAAAGCUCGUAGUUG